GCUGUGAUGAAUAUGAUGGAGAUGAUCUGAUAAGAUGAAUCUUCCUUUCUCUAAGAAGUUCUGAGCUG
Small nucleolar RNA from Protopterus annectens (West African lungfish), 68 nucleotides. RefSeq annotates it as small nucleolar RNA SNORD61. The transcript has a single exon. Lineage: Eukaryota; Metazoa; Chordata; Ceratodontiformes; Protopteridae. The record is from RefSeq and is a predicted model, not a curated record.